Molecule: ribosomal RNA, 468 nt
Filed under: uncultured bacterium
Lineage: Bacteria
Description: partial 16S ribosomal RNA
Rfam family: Bacterial small subunit ribosomal RNA
Source: RNAcentral
GACGAACGCUGGCGGCGUGCUUAACACAUGCAAGUCGAACGGAAAGGCCCUGCUUUUGUUGGGUGCUCGAUUGGCGAACGGGUGAGUAACACGUGAGUAACCUGCCCUUGACUUUGGGAUAACUUCACGAAACUGGGGCUAAUACCGCAUAGAAUCUCCUGCUGCACGUGGGGCGUUGGUAAGUUUCGGCGGUUGGGGAUGGACUCGCUGCUUAUGAGCUUGUUUGUGGGGUAGUGGCUUACCAAGGCUUUGACGGGUAGCCGGCCUGAGAGGGUGACCGGCCACAUGGGGACUACGAUACGGACCAGAAGCGUACGGGAGGCAGCAGUGGGAAAUAUUGCACAAUGGGGGGAAGCCUGAUGCAGCAACCCCGCGUGCGGGAUGACCGCCUUCGGGUUGUGAACCGCUUUCGCCUGUGACGAGGAGUGCGUGACGGUAAUGGGUAAAGAAGCACCGGCUAACUACGUG